Molecule: ribosomal RNA, 458 nt
Filed under: uncultured bacterium
Lineage: Bacteria
Description: partial 16S ribosomal RNA
Rfam family: Bacterial small subunit ribosomal RNA
Source: RNAcentral
GAUGAACGCUGGCGGCGUGCCUAAUACAUGCAAGUCGAGCGGUAAGGCCCUUCGGGGUACACGAGCGGCGGACGGCUGAGUAGCGCGUAGGAACGUACCCCAAAGUGAGGAAUAAGCACCAGAAAUGGUGUCUAAUACCGCAUGUGGUCUUCGGAUUAAAGCCUUCGGUCGCUUUGGGAGCGGCCUGCGUAUGAUUAGCUUGUUGGUGAGGUAAUGGCUCACCAAGGCGACGAUCAUUAGCUGGUCUGAGAGGAUGAUCAGCCAGACUGGGACUGAGACACGGCCCAGACUCCUACGGGAGGCAGCAGUAGGGAAUUUUCCACAAUGGACGAAAGUCUGAUGGAGCAACGCCGCGUGCAGGAUGAAUGCCUUCGGGUUGUAAACUGCUUUUAUAGGUGAAGAUAUGACGGUAACCUAUGAAUAAGGAUCGGCUAACUCCGUGCCAGCCGCCGCAGUAA